CGUGGGUAACCUAGCCCAACGAAGGAACUCGGGGAGUAAACAACCUGGAAACAGAUGCUAAUACCGGAUAACAACACUAGACGCAUGUCUAGAGUUUAAAAGAUGGUUCUGCUAUCACUCUUGGAUGGACCUGCGGUGCAUUAGCUAGUUGGUAAGGUAACGGCUUACCAAGGCAAUGAUGCAUAGCCGAGUUGAGAGACUGAUCGGCCACAUUGGGACUGAGACACGGCCCAAACUCCUACGGAAGGCAGCAG
This 254-nucleotide ribosomal RNA is filed under the name uncultured bacterium. RNAcentral's name for it is "partial 16S ribosomal RNA". It matches the Rfam family "Bacterial small subunit ribosomal RNA", at positions 100 to 354 of the family's 1533-position model. The record is from RNAcentral.